This 466-nucleotide ribosomal RNA is filed under the name uncultured bacterium. Its description in RNAcentral is "partial 16S ribosomal RNA". It matches the Rfam family "Bacterial small subunit ribosomal RNA", at positions 28 to 507 of the family's 1533-position model. The record is from RNAcentral.
GAUGAACGCUGGCGGCGUGCUUAACACAUGCAAGUCGAACGGAAAGGCCGAAGCUUGCUUCGGUACUCGAGUGGCGAACGGGUGAGUAACACGUGGGUGAUCUGCCCUGUACUUCGGGAUAAGCUUGGGAAACUGGGUCUAAUACCGGAUAUGACAAUCUCUUGGAUGGGGUUGUGGAAAGCUUUUGCGGUAUGGGAUGAGCUCGCGGCCUAUCAGCUUGUUGGUGGGGUAAUGGCCUACCAAGGCGUCGACGGGUAGCCGGCCUGAGAGGGUGUACGGCCACAUUGGGACUGAGAUACGGCCCAGACUCCUACGGGAGGCAGCAGUGGGGAAUAUUGCACAAUGGGCGCAAGCCUGAUGCAGCGACGCCGCGUGGGGGAUGACGGCCUUCGGAUUGUAAACUCCUUUCGCAACCGACGAAGCUUUUGUGACGGUAGGUGGAGAAGAAGCACCGGCUAACUACGUG